RNAcentral lists this ribosomal RNA (468 nucleotides) under uncultured bacterium. Its description in RNAcentral is "partial 16S ribosomal RNA". It matches the Rfam family "Bacterial small subunit ribosomal RNA", at positions 28 to 507 of the family's 1533-position model. The record is from RNAcentral.
GAUGAACGCUGGCGGCGUGCUUAACACAUGCAAGUCGAACGGAAAGGCCCUGCUUUUGUGGGUUGCUCGUGUGGCGAACGGGUGAGUAAAACGUGAGUAUACUCUACUUGACUUUGGGAUAACUUUAGGAAACUCGGUCUAAUAUCGGAUAGAAGAUUUUGCUGCAUGGUGGGGGUAGGAAAGUUUCGGCGGUUGGGGAUGGACUCGCGGCUUAUCCGCUUGUUUGUGGGGUAGUGGCGUACCAAGGCUUUGACGGGUAGCCGGCCUGGGAGGGUGACCGGGCACAUUGGGACUGAGAGACGGCCCAGACGCCUACGGGAGGCAGCAGUGGGGAAUAUGGCAGAACGGGCGGAAGCCUGAUGUAGCAACGCCGGGUGCGGGAUGACGUCCUAUGGGUGGUAAACCGCUGUCGCCUGUGACGAAGCGUGAGUGACGGUAAUGGGUAAAGAAGCACCGGCUAACUACGUG